Molecule: long non-coding RNA, 218 nt
Filed under: Vigna radiata
Lineage: Eukaryota; Viridiplantae; Streptophyta; Magnoliopsida; Fabales; Fabaceae
Description: long non-coding RNA (VRAD_LNC000299)
Source: RNAcentral
GUAAGUCAACCCGUUUAAGCCACUAACCUGUGGUGGGUCGAGUCAAGUUCGAAUUUUUCUGAGCUAAUAAUUGAGCCGGAUUGAAUUGGCUCACUAAGUAACCAACCCGUGAUGGGCCGAAGUGAGUCCGACCGGGUGACCCAUUUUGACAGAAGUAGCUAUUUUCAUCAAAUCAUUAUUUGUCAUAGGUUUAGGGAGUUACAUUGAUGGAAAGUGUC